GUAUGUAUGUUGUUACGGGUGGUUAACUUCGCCAGCGGCCCCCUUUCCCGGGGCAGUCCCUGCUCUCCCCUGCUAGAGGGGCACCCUAAUCCGUCACCCCAUCCGACUUCAGAAUGUAUUCGUUGGGUUCGGCAACUCACCACCAGCAUCCAACCAAAUCUAGCGGAUCAACGGCGCAUCAACUUAGUUCCUGGUCAGCUCGCAAGUUGAUAUUAUCACGUCCUACACCGUCCAUAUGAUGGGGGGCCACCUCCCAUUUCAUCACUCCUCAAACACCCGAGGAGCUGGCAGGCGGAUUUGAACCCGGGUCGACUGGAUCGACUGGGAGCAGAAGUCAGGCCUUAACUUCUGCCAGCCGCCUGCCAUAUCGUGUAUCACGUGUAUGCUUUGCAAGGACGCAAGUCUCACACACACACGCGCUGGCUGAUUGUAUGCUGUGUCGGUCAACAUCGAACCCAGUUACCAUGUUGUGACGCAGCAACGCCUCAAGGUUGCUGUAUCCCAAGUGGCCAUACCGUCGGUGCCAAAGUGCUGCACGUUCAGCUCCGAUA
RNAcentral lists this long non-coding RNA (551 nucleotides) under Volvox carteri. RNAcentral's name for it is "long non-coding RNA (VCAR_LNC001874)". The record is from RNAcentral. Lineage: Eukaryota; Viridiplantae; Chlorophyta; Chlorophyceae; Chlamydomonadales; Volvocaceae.